UACAGAGGUGGCGAGCGUUAUUCGGAAUUAUUGGGCGUAAAGGGCGCGUAGGCGGCUUGACAAGUCCCGGGUGAAAUCCCUCGGCUCAACCGAGGAACUGCCUUGGAAACUGUCUGGCUUGAGGCCGGGAGAGGGUAGUGGAAUUCCCAGUGUAGCGGUGAAAUGCGUAGAUACUGGGAGGAACACCGGUGGCGAAGGCGGCAUCCUGGACCGGCAUUGACGCUGAGGCGCGAAAGCCAGGGGAGCAAACGGG
This 253-nucleotide ribosomal RNA is filed under the name uncultured bacterium. Its description in RNAcentral is "partial 16S ribosomal RNA". It matches the Rfam family "Bacterial small subunit ribosomal RNA", at positions 524 to 776 of the family's 1533-position model. The record is from RNAcentral.